AAUGGAGGAAACUCUGACGCAGUGACGCCGCGUAUAGGAAGAAGGUUUUCGGAUUGUAAACUAUUGUCGUUAGGGAAGAGAAAGGACAGUACCUAAGGAGGAAGCUCCGGCUAACUACGUGCCAGCAGCCGCGGUAAUACGUAGGGAGCGAGCGUUAUCCGGAAUUAUUGGGUGUAAAGGGUGCGUAGACGGGAAGAUAAGUUAGUUGUGAAAUCCCUCGGCUUAACUGAGGAACUGCAACUAAAACUGUUUUUCUUGAGUGCAGGAGAGGUAAGUGGAAUUCCUAGUGUAGCGGUGAAAUGCGUAGAUAUUAGGAGGAACACCAGUGGCGAAGGCGACUUACUGGACUGUAACUGACACUGAGACUCGAAAGCGUGGGGAUCAAA
RNAcentral lists this ribosomal RNA (386 nucleotides) under uncultured bacterium. RNAcentral's name for it is "bacterial SSU rRNA". It matches the Rfam family "Bacterial small subunit ribosomal RNA", at positions 370 to 772 of the family's 1533-position model. The record is from RNAcentral.